Oreochromis niloticus (Nile tilapia) is the source of this 1341-nucleotide long non-coding RNA. RefSeq lists it as uncharacterized. The record is from RefSeq and is a predicted model, not a curated record. Lineage: Eukaryota; Metazoa; Chordata; Actinopteri; Cichliformes; Cichlidae. The transcript has 2 exons.
ACCGUGUUUAAAGUACAUUUCAGUUUAUCAACAGUAAUAUUAGCUGACCUACAAGUCGGAUAAAUGAACACCUUUUUUCCCUUUUACUUCGCAGGCGAUGUGUUGCAGGUCGGAAAAAACUCAAGCUGUCCGUUUGCCUGAUGGUGGAAAUAUCCCUCUAAAAAUAUACAGAGGCAUUCCUGUAUCAGCAGCAGUCACAAAAUCCAUGGCGGAUGAGGGAUAUCCACACACUGGCUUCUUGGUGAGUAAAUGAAGCUAAAUCAAAGGUUACAAAAGUAUUCAGGAUAAAGAAAAGCAAAUAUGUUUCUUCAUACACUGCCCUUCAGUUUCAUUCUAAACUUACCAGGGAUCAAAACAUUACUGCAAAUAAAUUUCUUUCUGCUCUGUAUUAAUGUGUGAUGUGUCAUAAAUGAGCAAUGAUCUGUAAAAACAACACAAUGAUCCCUUACCAUUAGCGAGCUGGAAACAGCGAUCAGCCUCUUAAACAUGUACAUACAGGGACCCCUGCUGGUUGCAAUAUAUACUUAAAAAUCAAAAUUCACAAUUCAACUUUGCGGGCAACGGAUGGAAAUGAAAAAUAAAAACAGCAGCACAGUACGGAAGCUGUGAUCAGCUGUCGCGCAGGGCGAUUUCAUCGUCAAACCUAGUGAUUCAACAUCAGUCUACAGGUAGAAGUCAUAUGAUUAUAGAGUCAACUCAGUCACAAGAUGUGAUAAUGCUUUAAUAAUACAGACAUGUUAGUGCCAUAUGAACACAGAAGAAGUGUGUUUGAAAUGUGUAUAAAAGGGGGAAAAGGAAACAGUAACACAUUAAAUAGUUUUGGAACAACACUGGCACACAAGCAAUGGAAAUAAUUACACUGCAGAUUAGAUGCUGAUAGAUAUUACACAUGGUUUAGGAUAAUAAUAAGAAUGACUUUCAAUAGUUGAACUGAAAUUUUUAAUGCAGCCAGAAUUUACAUGAGCUUUUAUUUAUUUAUUUUUAAACAGACAGUACCUCUUUGGAUGUUGAUGUAUGAACAACCUGUCAAACUAACGCAAAUCCACUUUAAUUAAGCUGUCUGUGAAAAUUAGCAUUUUUGUGGAUGAAUCCCUGUUUAUUUCUUUGAUAUUAAUAUGACACAUUUGAUAAUAUAGUACAGCUUUUUAGUAGGCAACAUUGUGGAGAGCUGCAACUCAGUGACCACUAGGUGUCGUUCACUGCACACAUUAAUUCAGCAUCAGUUUACGCAUAACCAACAAUUACAGAGAACAUGACAGGACGGCCACUAUACACUGGCUCAAACCCGUUCAUGUCUCCAAUCACAUUCAUUUUAGUAAAGCGGCUUGCAGAGAGGAAUUA